CAAUAGCGUAUAUUAAAGUUGUUGCAGUUAAAAAGCUCGUAGUUGGAUUUGUGGCGUACGGUGUGUUCCGGGCACUUGUUGUCUGAGUAACCUGCUGUUGCCAUCCUUGGGUGGAACCUGUGUGGCAUUAGGUUGUCGUGCAGGGGAUGCCCAUCAUUUACUGUGAAAAAAUUAGAGUGUUCAAAGCAGGCUUAUGCCGUUGAAUACAUUAGCAUGGAAUAAUGAGAUAGGACUUUCUUGCUAUUUUGUUGGUUUGCGCAAAGAGGUAAUGAUUAAUAGGGACAGUUGGGGGUAUUCGUAUUCCAUUGUCAGAGGUGAAAUUCUUGGAUUUUUGGAAGACGAACUACUGCGAAAGCAUUUACCAAGGAUGUUUUCAUUAA
RNAcentral lists this ribosomal RNA (380 nucleotides) under uncultured eukaryote. Its description in RNAcentral is "partial 18S ribosomal RNA". It matches the Rfam family "Eukaryotic small subunit ribosomal RNA", at positions 592 to 976 of the family's 1831-position model. The record is from RNAcentral.